RNAcentral lists this small RNA (542 nucleotides) under Pongo abelii (Sumatran orangutan). Its description in RNAcentral is "retained intron". The record is from RNAcentral. Lineage: Eukaryota; Metazoa; Chordata; Mammalia; Primates; Hominidae.
GAGGACGGCUGCUUCCGGCGCCAUAACUGCUGCCAUCUUUACGCUAUGGCUGCGUUCAGCCGUCAGGGAAAUUAAAGAGGGUGCUUUACUGUUGCCCCGAAAUUUUCACCAUGCGUCAGCAGGACAUUAAUGACACUGUCAGGCUUCUCAAGGAGAAGUGCCUUUUCACGGUACAGCAAGUCACCAAGAUUUUGCACAGUUGCCCCUCUGUUCUUCGAGAGGACCUGGGUCAACUGGAAUACAAGUUUCAGGUGAGAAUGACUGAUAGCCUGAUUAGCGUAGUUUCAGGUGAGAAUGACUGAUACCGUGAUUAGUGUAGUAAUAGCAAGUUUCUCAGGUUUUUCAAAUGUAGUAAAGGUCAGUUAUAUGGAUAAGAAGCCUCAGACACCUCAUAUUUGAGUGGAGGAAGUGAAAGACUAGAUUCUCUGCAUACAUCAGCCAAAGAGAAUUUGGUUCUGGUUCUUUAAUUUCUUUACUACAGAUCAAACCUAUUCUUCAACUUUUCUGCCAUUAAUAAUGAAUGAUCCAGUCCUAUUGUUAGA